RNAcentral lists this ribosomal RNA (450 nucleotides) under uncultured bacterium. RNAcentral describes it as "bacterial SSU rRNA". It matches the Rfam family "Bacterial small subunit ribosomal RNA", at positions 28 to 478 of the family's 1533-position model. The record is from RNAcentral.
GAUGAACGCUGGCGGCGUGCUUAACACAUGCAAGUCGAGCGAAGCACUUAAGUUUGAUUCUUCGGAUGAAGACUUUUGUGACUGAGCGGCGGACGGGUGAGUAACGCGUGGGUAACCUGCCUCAUACAGGGGGAUAACAGUUAGAAAUGACUGCUAAUACCGCAUAAGACCACAGGGUCGCAUGACCCGGUGGUAAAAACUCCGGUGGUAUGAGAUGGACCCGCGUCUGAUUAGCUAGUUGGUGGGGUAACGGCUCACCAAGGCGACGAUCAGUAGCCGACCUGAGAGGGUGACCGGCCACAUUGGGACUGAGACACGGCCCAAACUCCUACGGGAGGCAGCAGUGGGGAAUAUUGCACAAUGGGCGAAGGCCUGAUGCAGCGACGCCGCGUGAAGGAUGAAGUAUUUCGGUAUGUAAACUUCUAUCAGCAGGGAAGAAAAUGACGGUAC